RNAcentral lists this ribosomal RNA (492 nucleotides) under uncultured bacterium. Its description in RNAcentral is "partial 16S ribosomal RNA". It matches the Rfam family "Bacterial small subunit ribosomal RNA", at positions 29 to 507 of the family's 1533-position model. The record is from RNAcentral.
AGUGAACGCUGGCGGCAGGCCUAACACAUGCAAGUCGAACGGCAGCACAGUAAGCGCUUGCUCUUACGGGUGGCGAGUGGCGGACGGGUGAGGAAUACAUCGGAAUCUACUUUUUCGUGGGGGAUAACGUAGGGAAACUUACGCUAAUACCGCAUACGUCCUACGGGUGGAAGCAGGGGGUCUUCGGGCCUUGCGCGAUUGAUUGAGCCGAUGUCGGAUUAGCUAGUUGGCGGGGUAAAGGCCUACCAAGGCGACGAUCCGUAGCUGGUCUGAGAGGAUGAUCAGCCACACUGGAACUGAGACACGGUCCAGACUCCUACGGGAGGCAGCAGUGGGGAAUAUUCGACAAUGGGCGCAAGCCUGAUCCAGCCAUACCGCGUGGGUGAAGAAGGCCUUCGGGUUGUAAAGCCCUUUUGUUGGGAAAGAAAAGCAGCAGGUUAAUACCCCGCUGUUCUGACGGUACCCAAAGAAUAAGCACCGGCUAACUUCGUG